GCGUCCAGCUGUUCAACUGUCGAGAUGCUGCAGACCUCCUGGGGUUUUCACAUAUCUAAAUCUAUGGUUGUUCUGUGGAUGGAGAUGUUGUUGAAAGAGAGAGGAGCCAAAAUGGUUGGAGUUACAUUCGUGCUACAAUAAUCUAACUAACCACUCUUGAACCUCAUAGUGGACCUGCCUGAUUCAUCCUGAUGCACUACUUCUGGAUAGAUCUCUUUAACUGGAGGCCACUCACUGCUGCUGAAGAUGUUUCCAUGAGGUUACUGUGGAUGGUUGAACUCAAGAACCAUGAGCAUGUUUUUGGACUGUAAUUACUGUUAAACAGUCUGCUACAAUGAACACUGCCAUGAACAGUUUCACAUUCAAGCAUCCGAAAGUGAACAGUUUAAAACUUUAACAAAGAUAAAACUAUAAUGAAUGAACACUCGGUACCUCUCAAGGUUUCCCCUCAUGAAGUCUCAGGGAGUUUUCCUUUGCCACUGUCACCACUGACUUGCUUAUUAGCGAUAAACUUAUGGGUAAUAAAUUAUACAUUUAAAAUGUAUAUUUGUAUAUGAUUUAUUACUGUAAAGUUGCUUUAAUUUUCUGUAAAGUCCAUUGUUAAGCUUUAUACUACAAAUAACAUUGAAUUGGAUUGAAAUUUAUGAUUUGUAAC
This is a long non-coding RNA of Silurus meridionalis, 655 nucleotides long. RefSeq lists it as uncharacterized. NCBI's taxonomy places the organism in Eukaryota, Metazoa, Chordata, Actinopteri, Siluriformes, Siluridae. The transcript has 3 exons. The record is from RefSeq and is a predicted model, not a curated record.